RNAcentral lists this unclassified non-coding RNA (814 nucleotides) under Hevea brasiliensis (rubber tree). Lineage: Eukaryota; Viridiplantae; Streptophyta; Magnoliopsida; Malpighiales; Euphorbiaceae. The record is from RNAcentral.
CAAGUAAUCAAAUCAUUACACAGAAAAAAAAUAUCUGUUUACCCUACUUCUCCCUGAGAAAUGAUUGUGUCGCUAUGAGUACAAAAUCCAAACCAGAAAGGAACUAGCAAGAGAUAGACAAGGUUACGAUGUGAAACAAGGAGGAGAAAUUUUUUACUCAGAGCUUGACCUCCACAUCAACACCAGCAGGAAGGUCAAGCAACAUUAACUUGUCGAUAGUUUGGGCAGUCGGGUAAAGAAUGUCAAUAAGACGUUGAUGAGUUCUUAUUUCGAAAUGGAACCUGGCAUCUUUGUGAACAUGUGGAGAUUUGAGGACACAGUAAAUUCUCUUUUUGGUGGGCAGUGGUACAGGACCUACGGUCUUUGCAUUUGUCGUUCUUGCAGCAUCCAUAAUUUGCUUACAAGAGUCUUCUAUUAGGGGUACCCAGUAUGACCUCAAUUUGAUCCUAAUCUUCUGCUUUGGAGCUGCCUUGUCAGAGUCACCACCAAUACUCAGCGUUGAAGCAGCUAGAAUAUCCUCAACAUCAGCUUCAACAUUCUGGGCAUCCAAAACUUCAGGAGAAGCAAAAACCUUAGUUGUAGACACUCGAGAUUGGUUGAAAACUUGUAACUUAACAGAAUUUGAAUGCAAAGACAGAAGAGAAAACUUGGGUUGUGCAGAAAUGGAAGAUGAAUUACACAUUGGAAAAAGAGCUGCUGAGAGUGAAGACGAUGAAAUCGCCAUUUGGGUAUUCACUAAAGUUCGAAUUUGGUCUCUAAUGGAGAUUGGAGCUCUCCUCCUUAGGAGCUUCUUCAAUUUUUCUGUGUUUUAAAG